GAUCCGUGUUCAGGUUUUGCAAAGCCUGUAAAGAAUGACAAGGUUUAAAUAGUCACGUUUGUUCCUCCCGUCCCACCUGUUUCUUCCACACGGACUCCAACUCCCAUGAUCCUCUGAACAGUUUAAUCAGACGCAAUUGUAACGUUGAGCGGUAAGGAGGCGGACGCGUCUGCGGGGAAGAGCGAGAUUUAUUAGGUGCAAAUCCAAAUUCAGAGUUGUUAUAGCAGUCCAGGGACAUUGAGAUUACGGGGAUACAUGAUGAGCCAAAGAUACAAGUACACGAACGCAGACAGGGGAAGCAGGCUACAACCGAAACUAGGAAAUAACAAACGGAGAUUGCCCCGGAAGGGGCGGCUCCUGAUGCCCCAAGACCAGCCGCACAAUCCCGCCGAAAAGCCCGAAUGAGGUCAUGGUCCAGGAUGUGACAGAAGGGGACCCAGAUCUGCUCUUCGGGCCCAUGUCUCUCCCAGUCCAGCAAAUACUCGACUCCAUCACAAACCCGCCGGAUGUCCAAGAGACGCUUGACCAUGUACGUCGGUACACUGUCCACCAUGCGUGGAGCCGGCGGGUCGGAGGAGCCCACCGAACACAAUACUGGCCUAAGCCCCUGUUACUCUGGACCCCAACACUGCCCAUCCUCGCCUACACUUGUCUGAUGAUCUCACUACUGUAGAAUACAGACCACAGACAUCACUGCUUCCUGAUAAACCGGAGAGAUAUGAUGAGUCUCUGAGGGCUUUUAACUCAGAGAAGCACAGCUGGUACACUGAGGGUUAAAUGUAUGUCUACACUGAGAAAGAGACGAUCGUUCUGGGAUUCCCAGUGACAGUAAAACAUUGAUGAAAACUCAACGCACUGUUCAGGACAAGGAGUUCACCACCUGAUACCUACAGAGAAACUGCCGAGGGUGAGAGCGCAGCUGGACUGGGACAGAGGGAACGGGGCAUUCACUGAACUUCUAACCAGUACACACCUGCACACUACAACACACACCUUUACUGACACACUUUUCUCAUUAUUUAUGGAUUUAUUUUUUUUUUCCUCAGAAAAUCUUACCAGUAAAAAUAGCAGUAUGAGUAGAAAACCAGUCUGUGGUUUGCUGAACAUGUCAGUGUCUACUGCGUGUCUAAGAUGUUGUAUUACCUGUAAGAACUCGGUGAAUAUUGAGUCACAGCAGUAUUGAGUGGUUUGCUAUCAUGUAAAGCAGAGGUUCCCAGUCCUGGUCCUCCAGUUCCCAUUGUGGUGAGAUCCCUGUAAACCCAGAGUGAGACUGGACCCAUUACGGACCCGAACACUGAACACUGUGGAGCUGAAUGGACCACUGCUACCACCUGCAUGUUUACACAGGGGUUUAUGGGGUCAGUGUUAGUGUACAGCUGAUUUAUUUUUCUUUGACCUUUGGCCACAGAAGUGAGGCUGUCCUUUAAGGUCAGUAAGACAGACUCUCAUAUUUCCUCAGAUCUUAGAGUGGAACUGAGAACAAUGCUUGUGGACACAUGACAGUAAUCUCAUUCAUCAUCUUAGAGUGGCAGGUUGGAGAGAGGUGCAAGGCUGUUAUGGUUGGAGUUCUUUUUGUUUAUAAUUAUACCCAUUUCAGUAUGUCAGAUUAUUCUGGGCACACAUUUAGAAAAUAGAGACAUUUGAGCCAGUAUAUCAUAGCACAUCUGCUGCAGAUGAAGCAAGAUGGCAGUGCCCAUCGAGACCUACCUUAAAACAGCAGCUUUACUCACAAAUUACUACAGGUCAUUUUUAUACUGUAUUGACGAACAUGGAGGCAACCUUUUCUAUUUCGUCAGAGUUCAGAAUUGUUUAAUGUCAUCCGGAACUGUCCUGCACAUCUGUGGCCUAUGGAACUAUAGAGUGAGCCAUUCUGGCCCAGGCCAUCUGCCAAGCACUGUAAAUGUAAGAAUACCAAACUAUGAGAUCCCUCUUGUGAUAAAUCUCUCCACUGCAGAAAUAAUACUUUAACCAAUAGUAGGUGAGGGACAGCUACAGCUGAAAAACAAGCUCACAGAGCCUGGCUUGUCUGGGACCAUAAAAAGAUGUUCAACACUUAAUCACUACACUUAAUCGUGCGCUUCGUGUGCAGCCACAUUCCAGUCUUCGAUGCAGUUACACUGCCUUCAAAACUCAACUGAGACAAAGUCACAUCACGCUCUGAAAUGCACGAAAAGUGCUAAAGCGCUCU
Electrophorus electricus (electric eel) is the source of this 2188-nucleotide non-coding RNA. NCBI's taxonomy places the organism in Eukaryota, Metazoa, Chordata, Actinopteri, Gymnotiformes, Gymnotidae. The record is from RefSeq and is a predicted model, not a curated record.